UUCUGAGACUUUGACAAUGACAAGCACUGAGACCAGGGCUUUUACGAACUAUUUUAUCCAUUAAUUCUUGCACAGAAACUGUUGCCAGAUUUGCAAAAUUGGUAUGAUGAAGACUUACACUAUCUGGUUUUGCCUGUAUUUUAUGGCCAUUUAAAACAAUGGUGGUAUUCCAGAGGCAUUACUCAAGGAGGAACAGAGCUUCCAUCCUAAAAUUUUUCAGGGUCAUGAAGUAGUGUCCUAAGCUUACAAGAUCAGUAACUUCACUGAUCAUUCCUAUUCUUUCCAUCUGUCCUCUUUGGUUCUGUUCUGAGAUGUCUUUGUGCAGGGCUCUGAAUAAUAUCUUUGUAGUCUGAAGAGUUACUCACUGAGGAGCAAGAAGAGUUUUGGAUUAUUAUCUACAUCCCCUUUACAGUUUCAGGGCUUUUGGACAGGCAAAUAAGCCAGCUGUCAGCACUUCGUGGCAAGCAAAAGAGUAGGACCAAACAUGAGUGCUGUUGAAACCAGACCUCCUGUGUUUAAUGGCAGUUGGACCUCUCGAGGAAACCACUUGGGCGGAUACUCUGUCGCAUGCGGUUGAGCAAUUCCCUCUGCCAGUGGUUUCAGAGGGAAAGAGCACGUAUGACACCCACAGCCAGAGCCUUCUGGAGUUAAUAAAAUUAUUUGCUUUUUUUCCCCAAAAUAUUUUGUAUAAACCCAUCAAAAUUUCCAAAACAUUGGCACGAUGGAAUACCUGCAGCCACAAGGCUUAAGGAAGGCUACACUGAGAACGCAGGGUUUUCCCAAUUUUGCACUGCAAAAGCAGAAACUCACAGCAAGUGCAGAUAGAAUUCUGUGUCAGGCUAGAUCUGAGCACCCUGCCUAACACAACAGUGUUCGAUCUCUGCUGCCGUUUAUAAGAGGGUUUUUUAAAUUCUUGGAAAAGUCUUAAGGAGUGCCUCAGGAAUUUUACUUCUUCAACUCCUGUAUGAUCAUUCAGCCCAUGGAUUGGAAUGAAAGCUUUUAUGGGAUUUCUGUCUUGAGCUGGACUGAAACAAAAAGCAAAGUUAUCUGUGCAGGCUGGGUUUCCCCAGUCUUGCUCUAAAGCACUCCUGACAGGCAGGAAAAAGCCGAUGUGGGGGCUUUCCAGCCCACGUCCUGCCGUGAAAGCGUAGCCCACACCACCCUGCUGAAGGCUGGCUGUCCUGGCUGUCACCAGGGAGACUGGCUGCUGCCGCUGAGCCACUGGACUGGCCGGAGACAGAGACAGAAGGAGAAAGCAAGGGAGAAGGGAAAUUACAUGCUUGAUUUUGCAGACAAAAUGAAUAUCCCUGCAGUGCCAGAGCGUCUUUAGGAGCAAAAGGUCUAACCGCCUCUGCUUUUAUCACAGCGGGACUUGAAUGCAUGCCUCAGAUUUAGCCCUGUGUUCUCAGACCUCUGCCUGCUUUAACGGCUGUAAAUCACGGGGGGUGCUCCGACUUUAAACUAUCCCAAAUCUGAUCCAGA
Long non-coding RNA from Neopsephotus bourkii (Bourke's parrot), 1482 nucleotides. RefSeq lists it as uncharacterized. The transcript is spliced from 4 exons. The record is from RefSeq and is a predicted model, not a curated record. NCBI's taxonomy places the organism in Eukaryota, Metazoa, Chordata, Aves, Psittaciformes, Psittacidae.